AGCGAACGUUUGCGGCGGGCCUAACACAUGCAAGUCGAACGCACUAGCAAUAGUGAGUGGCGCACGGGUGCGUAACACGUGGGUAAUCAACCCUUCAGCCUGGGAUAACGACUCGAAAGGGUCGCUAAUACCGGAUACGGCGCGAGAGGCUUCGGCUUCUCACGAGAAAGCCACGCAAGGGGCACUGAAGGACGAGCCUGCGGCCCAUCAGCUAGUUGGUGAGGUAAGAGCUCACCAAGGCUAAGACGGGUAGCUGGUCUGAGAGGAUGAUCAGCCACACUGGAACUGAGACACGGUCCAGACUCCUACGGGAGGCAGCAGUGGGGAAUAUUGCGCAAUGGGCGAAAGCCUGACGCAGCCACGCCGCGUGAGCGAUGAAGGCCUCGGGUCGUAAAGCUCUGUGGGAGGAGACGAAGAAAGACCUGUGAAGAGCAGGCCUUGACGGUAGUCUCCUUAGCAAGCACCGGCGUAACUACCGU
RNAcentral lists this ribosomal RNA (479 nucleotides) under uncultured bacterium. RNAcentral's name for it is "bacterial SSU rRNA". It matches the Rfam family "Bacterial small subunit ribosomal RNA", at positions 29 to 508 of the family's 1533-position model. The record is from RNAcentral.